CACUCUUUUCCACUUACAUUGCAGAAAAUAUGUGGCAUACUUCAUUCAACGUCUAAUCCUUUGGGUCCAAUAACAACUUGGAAGACAAAAGCAUGUGAUCUUGCAUUUUGCAAGAAUGUGUCACAAUCUCUUCGCUAAAAUUCCUACUAUUACCCAAUCUUAUUGAAAUCUUCUUACACCUAUAUAAUGCAUCCAAUUGUGCUGAUAUCAAGCACAACUCCUCCACAGCACCUGUCACAAAAACGAAAUCCUUUCAUAUUGCAUUUCUUCACCAAAACAAAUUAAGUGACCGUACCCUUCAUAUAUACAUGGCUAUUCGUAUGCCUCGGAUCAUUCAAGCAAAGAAAGUUCUUGGUCGAUCAUUGUCCAAUGGAAGCCGUCCAUCAUCAUCUACAGACAUCAUCCCUAAAGGACAUUUUGCAGUUUAUGUUGGUGAUCAAGAGAAAAGACGAUUUGUUGUUCCUUUAUCAUUAUUAAACCAGCCUUCAUUCCAAGACUUGCUACAUCAAGCAGAGGAAGAAUUUGGAUAUGAUCAUCCAAUGGGUGGCCUCACAAUUCCAUGUCGUGAGGAAGUGUUUGUUGAUGUUGCUUCCCGCCUUUGCUCGUUAUGAUGAAGAGCUAGGCAUGCAUCGUGAAUUUGCUAACAGUUUUGUACAGUCAAAAUUACCAUGAGGAUUAAUUACUUGUAAAUCAGAGGGAGUAAUGUGGUCUCCAAAUUAACUGUAUGAUAACAAAAUUUAGUUUCAGCAAUAAUACAUUAAUGACGAGCAUAGUUCAACGUAUGGUGUUCAUGUUAUGCCAUUAGGGCUUUCUUUAUCAAUAUCCUCUAAGCCCACCAGAACCACUUACUUUCUUUUGUUCUUUAGCUUGUAUUUUCAAUCUGUUAAAAAAAAAAGUGUGUAUGCCUCAUCUUUCUCCGUAUACUGAAUGUCACUAUAGCUUUAAGGCCUGGAUCAGUUGUUUCUUCAACACCACCUACCCAAGAGCUAUCAGUUAUUGUUCUUUUACUCUAACCUAUUAUAGGGACUGAUUGGUGAAGAGAAAUCGGCUGAUGACCAAUGAUCAGUAGUUCGAUAAAGGGAACGACUUUGUAAAAGGCCUGCUAAUGUCUUUCUUGUGGAAGCUCAGAAGUUUAAACAAAAGAACUCACAUAGAGAACAUCAUGGUAUUUAGCUGCUUCUGAUGGCAAACUAUUAGGCAUAUUUUUAAUAGAUUAUGACCAUAUUACUAAUUAGGAAGGUUUCAAUAUAAAGUCCAGCUACAACUCUUGUAUAGAUAUCAUGAAAACUAUGGAAAAAGGCAAGGCAUUGAGUUUCAAAUAUUAUAAUCACAAAAGAAUUCCAACAGAGACCCCUCUUGGAACAUCCUAAACAUCAUAACAUCCUACUUUCUUCCCAAUAGAUUUAUUCCGCUACAAAUCUUAAUUACUCAAGCAACAUGACAAUCACUGACAACCUACCAAAAUAGUUAGAAAGACCCCACAAUAUAUAUAUAUAUAUAUAUAUNNNNNNNNNNNNNNNNNNNNNNNNNNNNNNNNNNNNNNNNNNNNNNNNNNNNNNNNNNNNNNNNNNNNNNNNNNNNNNNNNNNNNNNNNNNNNNNNNNNNNNNNNNNNNNNNNNNNNNNNNNNNNNNNNNNNNNNNNNNNNNNNNNNNNNNNNNNNNNNNNNNNNNNNNNNNNNNNNNNNNNNNNNNNNNNNNNNNNNNNNNNNNNNNNNNNNNNNNNNNNNNNNNNNNNNNNNNNNNNNNNNNNNNNNNNNNNNNNNNNNNNNNNNNNNNNNNNNNNNNNNNNNNNNNNNNNNNNNNNNNNNNNNNNNNNNNNNNNNNNNNNNNNNNNNNNNNNNNNNNNNNNNNNNNNNNNNNNNNNNNNNNNNNNNNNNNNNNNNNNNNNNNNNNNNNNNNNNNNNNNNNNNNNNNNNNNNNNNNNNNNNNNNNNNNNNNNNNNNNNNNNNNNNNNNNNNNNNNNNNNNNNNNNNNUAUAUACUGCUUGUAAUCAAUAAAUGAAUGAUAUAAAACCACAAUGGGUCUCUUACUUAGUUGAUAUCAGAGUUACGGAAAAGAAAACAGCCAAUCGGUUAUCAGUUAAGGUCAAAUAGCAGAUCCUUUUGUAUCGAUCAUGGAUAACAGAACAACCUUCAAAAGAUAUGUCUCUGAUUUUCUUCAGGAGGGAAAAGCAAAAUAUUUAAAUGCGUACUAUGUGUUGAUUUCAGGACCUGAAAUCGUGGACUUGUUGUACUUGAAAAAAAGAUGCCUAACCUUCUGAUAUUUUUGACAAACAUGGCCAUCUCUUCUUUGNUUCGUAUGCCUCGAAUCAUUCAGGCCAAAAAAGUUCUCGGUCGAUCAUUCUCCAAUGGAAGCCGCUCAUCAUCAUCAUCGGUAGACAUCAUCCCCAAAGGACAUUUAGCAGUUUAUGUUGGUGAUCAAGAAAAAAGACGAUUUGUUGUUCCUUUAUCGUUAUUAGACCAGCCUUCAUUCCAAGAUCUGUUACGUCAAUCAGAGGAAGAAUUUGGUUAUGAUCAUCCAAUGGGUGGCCUCACAAUUCCAUGUCGUGAGGAUGUCUUCAUUCAUGUCGCUUCUGGCCUGGUCUGCUCAUUAUGACCAAGAAUUUUGCAUUCUAUUCGCUAACAUAUAACGUAAUUUUGUACAGUAGAAAUCACCAUGAAACCUAAGUAUUUGUAAAGCUGUCUCCAAAUUGUAUAAUAGCCAACAUUAGUUUCACCAUUAACAUAGCAAUGAAGAACAUCAUUCAAAUUUUGGUAUCUAUAUAUGCAUAUUCCAUCUUUCCUUUAUUAAUGUACUCUUAUAAGGUGCUCAAAAUCCGUACUUCAAACUUUCUAAAUCGAUCUAACAAGUGUUCAAAAAUGGUAAUUAUUUCACAUAAUUUUCUAUAUAGUUAAUACUACAUUUCUUCUGCGCUAAGACAGCCACACGACUUCAAUCAAGCACCAAAUUUCGCUGAACUCAACACAUAGAAUCCUCCACAUAUACUGUGCGGCUUCCUCGUGUGAGCGUGUGAUUCACAUUCCACAAUCUUAUCGGCACGACAUCAUCACGACCUUCCAAUUCGCGUUAUAGGCGGUGGCAGGGAUUUAAGACCAUUUUUCUUUCGAAAUUCGAUUUCAUCAAAAUCAGGCCUUAAACACUUGUAUUUCUCCAUUUUCUUUGGACCGUAAAUAUCAUAUAUGAUUUUCGUAUCUCUUGACUCAGCCAAUGGUCUUCAUGCUUUCGGCUUUAUACAAAAAUCUUGGUGAUUUUGUCUUAAUAUCAGUAUUUCUUUACUAAUUAUUGUUGAUUCUCAUUUAUAUAGUAUUGGUUCCAUACAUUGGAGGUAUUAUUUUGGAUUAUCAAACCGUAUGAAGAUGCAAGUUCGAUUAUUUGGAACUUUAAACUUGGACUGAGAUUUACCAAUACUGAUAAACUUUGUUAUUUUUGUUCAUUUUUAACUAAUAUUAUUGUGAAAGGCUUGUUAAAAACUAGCAGGACAAAGACGACAUACGAAGGUUCUUUUUGAUAUGACACAAUUCAAGUUUUUUUAAUUGUUAUAUUCGGCAUGUCAAAAAAUAUCUUCUAAACAAGUUUAUAAGCGAGGUUUUUAAAGAGCUACUCAAACUCGAAUUUUAACAAACUUUAAAAUCUUUUUUAAAAUCCUCCCUUUAUAUAUGUUCAUUUCCCUAGACCAAGGGCCAAGGAGCCAAAAGCGAAGAUAGAAGAAAAGUAGUCUAUUGAUUAGCUAAGUGCAAAAGUGACAAAAAUAAGAAAGUAAGAUUGUUAUUACCUUUAUAUAUGUUAUUAUAAGUCAUAUAAUUUAUUAGAAAGGAGUUUCAUGGAAAUGAGGGUAAAAUGAGAAGAAUUAUGAAAAAUUAAAAUAUAAAUCAAAUAAUGAAAGUAGUAAAUUUGGAGCUCUAGGAGGCCAACCAAACGUUGGUGUUUAGGAACAAACAGGGUUGAAAUGGAAAGAGGACGUAUAAUACUAAACAAUGUAAAAUGACUCAACUUAAUUGGUAAAACAAUGAGCAAAUUAUGAGCUUGCAAAGUUAAAAGACAAUUCAUUCAUAAGUUAUGGGUUAUUUCAAAAUUCCAAGGUACUAACUUUAGAGGUUAAUAGCUAUAGAUCUAGAAUGAUUCAAAAAAAAUCUAUAAAAAGAAUAUUAUAAACAUUAUGUCAACAGAAACAUAAGAUGAUUCAAGAAAAUUAGAAUCAUUAUGAAGUAGUUAUGAGCAUUUAAAAAUGUCAAGUUAAAACAUAAAGUUAACAAAAUAACAAGUAUAAACCUAUGUUCAUGAGUUAAUAACUCAAUAUUUGUACAUAUUCAACCAAAGAUGUUUGCACGCAUCACACUCCUUGUUCUUUCUAAUAAAUCCUUAAUUUUAAUUUUAGAAAAAUUAUUUUCAUUAUAAAAAUUUCUCAAACCCUCGAUUUGAGUCUAGACACCCCCGAAGGUGUGGCCGGAUCCCUCAAACCAAGACUCUGAUACCAAAUUGUAACAUCCCAAAAAUUAAGGCCAAAAAUUUCAUUUUUAUUUAAUAAUUAUAAAACCAUUUGUCUGAAAACAUCCAUAAUAUCAACUCAUAUCAAAACCACUAUAUGAAUAGUCAAAACAUGUCAUGAUAAACAAUAUCAGAGUAAAACUCCAAGAGAUCUCAUGUGCGGAAAAUAUAGUGUGAUACACUACGAUCAUGCCGGAUAUCUGGGUGCUUGACCUACUCUGCUAGGCAUAUCUGGGUGCCCAACCUAUGCUCCAGUUUAUCUCAACCGGUUACAGAGACUAUUUCACCCCUACCACUACCACAUAAUACAUAGCAUAAUCAUACUGUCAGGCAUAUCUAGGUGCCGAACCUACCCUUAGGUUUAUCUCAACCGAUUCCGGGGACUAUUCCUCCUCCUACCACUAUCACAUAAUAUCAUAGCAUAAUAGCACAUAUAACAUAACAGAUAGUGGCAUACUAGACAAUUAUCUCUACUAUAAUCAGCCAAUAGUGGGCUGGCAUUGGUGCCUUCGACCCACUUCUACUGGAAGGUAACUCACCUCAAAUAUCAUGAAGUAGCUAAACUAUCCUCAACUUUGAAAUCAACCCCACUCAAACUUCUACACAUAAAAUAUUCCCUUUAAUUACCCUUUUCAUACUCAUAACCCGUUCAGGUUCAACUUUGAUCAAAGUCAAAGUCGAAGUCAACACCCUAGUCAAAGUCAACAUUCCGGUCAAAGUCAACACUAUGGUCAAAAGUCAACAUUCCGGGAUGACUCAACUCGCCGAGUUCCAUAAAUCAUGAAACCUUGAAAUUGCGAUCCAACUCGUCGAGUUCUUUCACAACUCGUCGAGUUCCUCCUAUAAACAGAAUCAAGACUUCUCCAUUCAACUCGUCAAGUUUUUCCUUUUUAUAGAAUUGGGAUACUUCGACCCAACUCGUCGAGUUCCUCUAUGAACUCGUCGAGUUCUUCAGUGUGUUAAGCCCUUCUUAAUGGAUGAAGGUCCUAUUCCUCAGAUCUAAGCUUCAUACUUCGUAUUCAUACUGAAAAUGUCCUUUUUAAGGGUAAAAGUUUCCAACUUUACCCGUUAAUACCCUUCCUUAAUGGAUUUAGCUCAAAACCUAACUCUUUAACACCUGGAUCUUGAUCCAAAAGCCAUUAAUACUUUAAGCUAAGGCAUACAAACUCAGAUCUAGAGCCUAGACACUACAUGAACACGUAAAGUCUCUGACUUUCUCUCAAUGCAUGGCCUUUUGGAGCUUAAAAGGCCAAAAUGACAUCCUAAAGCUUGCAUGGGGCUUCAAUGGCCAUAAAGUUUGCACCUUUAUGCGAUGAAAGCCCUUCAAGGUCCUAGAUUUGGAAUUAUACUCACUUGGGACUCCCAUUUCCCAAGGACCAUGCUACUUGGACCAAAACCCAAUGAAAGUGAAAAUGCAGAGAUCUAAGAAAUCAUUAAGCAAGUUUGAGGCUUGCAUACCAGAAAAUGCUGCAAAUAGAGUGAAGUUUCUGGAUCUACUACUUCCUUCGUGAGUCAUCACGCUUCUUAUUCCACAAGCAAGAACCGGGCGUUACACAACGGCCAACGUUGACUUGCCAUGUCGUGGUGGUCCUUCAUCAUGUCGUAGUCCCUAAAGAACAAAACAGACGAUCUAACCCCAGUCGCCACAACGUGGUGACCUGACACUACGUCGUGGAAACGAGGUUCCAAACAACUUAAUUGAUUAAACUGCUUUCUUCAACCUUCUAGACUACAAUGCUCAAAUCUCACUCAAAACGAUAUCUAGAGGGAUAAAGUUUCUAAAUUUACCCUAAGGACCAUCAAAAAAGGUCUAAAACUCAAACCCUAGGUUCCAUAAGGCAUGAAAUUAACAAUUAAGCACUUAUUCCUUUAAAUCCAAGGUCCAUCUUCUCUAGUUGUGUUUCUAACACUAAAAUCAACAUGAAAGUUGGUGCUUUAUAGACAUGCAUGUCCAAUGCGUGUCUUGAACCCAUAUUAGGUCAAAAUGAGAAUUUGUGAACUAAAUCUCAUGCAUGAUUACAAUAUGCAACUAAACUUCAGAUCCAAGCCACCAAUUUCAUCAAAUGUCAAAGAGAUUCAUAAAGUCGCAAACAUUAUGAAAUCCCACCAUUCUAACCAGUAAGAAUAAGAAGAUUAUGGGACAAAGCUUAAGAUCUAGCAUCCUAUCAUGAUAAAAGUCAUGUUUGGGACAGUUACAAAGGUCCAAAAGAGUGUCAAGGUAAAUAAUGGAGGCUUGCUUGCUGGAUCGAAGCUCAAUAAUUCCUCCUUCUUCCUUCAAAAGAUUCCAAGACGACCAAAAACGAGCACAAGAGCACCAAGGAGGAUUAGGGUUAGAGUUGCUGGGUUUGGGAGUGAUGGAGGCUGAAGGUGGACAACCCUAGCCUCCCUACUUUCCGUUAAAUACUCAAAAAAAUUAGGGUUUGCCAUCAGGCCGCCACCACAUUGUGGCCACAAGCCGCCACGUCAUGGUGACUAAAUGAAACAUGCGAUCUAGUCUCGACUCGCCAUGUUGUCUUGGUCCUUCACCAAGUCGUGGCGGCCCUAAACAAAGAAGAUAAUAAUUACAAAGUACCUCAAAAUCUGGAUGUUACAUUAACAAGAUGACAAGGCUUUGUUGGGUUGCUACCUCCGGUCGGGAAGUAUAUUCCUAGUCGACAAACAUAAAAACGCCUAACUAUUUUUGCAACAAUGUAGCUAGGCGAAUUGAAGGUUGAAUACUCCUUGUUUGCAAGGUUGUUUGGAAAGCUACAAAAUUAAUAGCUAUGAUUUAACAACCUAUGAAUAAAAGAGUCUCGAAGGAAACCAACUUGGGAUUACAACGUCCUCCAUCAAAAGGUACCAAAGUCAACAUUGAUUGAUUAAAGUGUAAGUUGGUAUAUUAAGAAAGAGUUAAGAUAAUUUUUUUGGAUUUUUGAAUACCAAAACACUCACUGUCCGAAUAUGAAGACUUCUCUAGUGGUUCAUUUUUUUUCAUUGCUCUGUGGGUUCUGUCGGGAUGAUCAAGAGAUGAUCAAACGAUGCUAAACGUGAUGCGAUGAGCCUCUAAAACUUUAAGACCGUGUUGUAAUUGAGUUCGUCUAGACCAAAGACGACGGGUAUGUAUGCGAUGAUGUUGGUAAUGGAAACCAUCAGUGAAAAGGAAGGCGGUGACUAUAGUUGUAUAGAGAAGGACAACUAACAAGAAGAAAAAAGAGAAGAUAAGGAUUGGAUAUUGGAGUGACAUAAUCCGGAAAAUCUGUAACAAAUUGGAUAUUAUAUUAAAAAACGUAUUUCCACAUCAAUCCUAUUUGUCAUUAAAGAAUCGGAAUAUGUACUUGUACAUCAUACGUAGGCAAUGUUAGCAUUAAUGGAUUGGGUAUAUAUACAAAUCCAUAUAUAUAAUACCGAAAGAGGCCAACAAAUAUGUCCGUUAUAAUAGACUAAUAUUUAGAUGGCGUUUUGUACGAUAACAAGAUUUUUGACCCAAGCUAGCAAAUUAAGAUUAAAAUAUUUCUUUCUCUUCAAAAACCACAAAAAAUAAAAAUAAAAAUAAACCACGGUCAAACAUCUCUCCUUUUUUCCGGUUAGAUGAAAGAAACACCAUUUUCUUCUUUAAUGAGCAAUCCCCGAUAACUACAUCCAAUUACACCCUUGAUCCCGUUUUAAGUUGGAGUAGAACUUUGAGCACCGUGCUGGAAAUGUAUACCCACUUAUAGGACUAUGUUGUACCGAUGUAGAAUACACUAACAACAACAUGAGAAGUUACAUCUUUGAUAUUUUGGUCGGUGGCCAAGUAAAAACUUUAAAUUCAAAAGCUUAUUAGUAGGUGGUUGAUUCAUAUGCAUGAUUAGAUUUGAUCCCAUUUGGAUUUUGAUAGUGUUGAACACUUCACCACCUAAAAUGGUGGAAUGGUUGUACUUCAAAAAAAAUAAAGAUGCAAAAUGUUAUGAUUUUUUAUGAAACAUAGCAAUGUGAGAAAUAAUGGUUAAUGUCCUUCAGACUCCAAUAUACAUAUGGGCCAUAGUUUUGCUCACUCUUUUCCACUUACAUUGCAGAAAAUAUGUGGCACACUUCAUUCAACGUCUAAUCCUUUGGGUCCAAUAACAAUUUGGAAGACAAAAGCAUGUGAUCUUGCAAUUUGCAAGAAUCUGUCACAAUCACUUCGCUAAAAUUCCUACUAUUACUCAAUCAUAUUAAAAUCUUCUUACCCCUAUAUAAUGCAUCCGAUUGUGCUGAUAUCAAGCACAACUCCUCCACAGCACCUGUCACAAAAACGAAAUCCUUUCAUAUUGCAUUUCUUCACCAAAACAAAUUAAGUGACCGUACCCUUCAUAUAUACAUGGCUAUUCGUAUGCCUCGGAUCAUUCAAGCAAAGAAAGUUCUUGGUCGAUCGUUGUCCAAUGGAAGCCGUCCAUCGUCAUCUACAUACAUCAUCCCUAAAGGACAUUUUGUAGUUUAUGUUGGUGAUCAAGAGAAAAGACGAUUUGUUGUUCCUUUAUCAUUAUUAAACCAACCUUCAUUCCAAGACUUGCUACAUCAAUCAGAGGAAGAAUUUGGAUAUGAUCAUCCAAUGGGUGGCCUCACAAUUCCAUGCCGUGAGGAAGUAUUUGUUGAUGUUGCCUGCCGCCUUUGCUCGUUAUGAUGAAGAGCUAGGCAUGCAUCGUGAAUUUGCUAACAGUUUUGUACAGUCAAAAUUACCAUGAGGAUUAAUUACUUGUAAAUCAGAGGGAGUAAUGUGGUCUCCAAAUUAACUGUAUUAUAACAAAAUUUUGUUUCAGCAAUAAUACAUUAAUGACGAGCAUAGUUCAACGUAUGGUGUUCAUGUUAUGCCAUUAGGGCUUUCUUUAUCAAUAUCCUCUAAGCCCACCAGAACAACUUACUUUCUUUUGUUGUUUAGCUUGUAUUUUCAAUCUGUUCAAAAAAAGUGUGUAUGCCACAUCGAUCUUUCUCCAUGUACUGAAUGUCACUAUAGCUUUAAGGCCUGGAUCAGUUGUUUCUUCAACACCACCUACCCAAGAGCUAUCAAUUAUUGUUCUUUUACUCUAACCUGUUAUGAUAGGGACUGAUUGGUGAAGAGAAAUCGGCUGAUGACCAAUGAUCAGUAGUUAGAUAAAAAUUCAUGGUAGGAUCACACAUGUUAGUGUAUGAACUAAAGGGAACGACUUUGUAAAAGGCCUGCUUAUGUCUUUCUUGUGGAAGCUCAGAAGUUUAAACAAAAGAACUCACAUACAGAAUGAGAACGAUCUGAAUUAAUUUAACCAAAAGUCAUUACAGAAGAAAGAUAAUACAAAGACUAAAUACUUGGACAAUUAUACAUAAAUGACAAAAAGAGUCCUUCAACUAUAUUUAUAAAUAUAUUAACACCCCCCUCAAACUCAAGAUGGUUCAUGAGGGACCAAAUUGAGUUUGGAAAGUAGAAUAGAGAAGCGUCUUGGAUGAUGAGCUUUAGUGAAGAUAUCAGCAGGUUGGUCAGUAGAUGAGAUUGGAGAUAGAGUAAUGGUAUUGUGAAUGACAUGUUGUCGAACAAAAUGGCAAUCGAUCUCAAUGUGUUUGGUGCGCUCAUGGAACACGUCAUUGUAAGCAAUCUGAAUGGCACUUGUAUUAUCACACCAUAUGAUGGUCGGUGAAGAAAGAGAAAGACCCAUAUCUGAUAGAAGCCAACGCAACCAUACAAGCUCUUGGGUGGUGAAAGCAAGAGCCCGAUAUUCAGCUUCGGUGCUAGAUCUGGUGACUAAUGAUUGUUUCUUACUACGCCAUGAAAUUAGUGAAUCACCAAGGAAGAAACAAAAUCUGGUGGUAGAUCGACGAUCUGUGAUAUCCCCAUCCCAAUCUGCAUCCGAGAAGGCAUGAAGCUCUAAAGAUGAGGUGGAUGAGAAGUAGAGACCAUGGAAUAUGGUACCUUUAAUAUACCGUAAGAUACGCAACACUGCAGUAUAAUGAGUUGUUCGAGGAGAAGCCAUGAAUUGACUAACAAUAUGAACAGCAAAUGCAAGAUCGGGACGCGUAACGGUCAGGUUGACAAGUGAACCGACGAGCUGACGGUAAAGGGUAGGAUCAGAGAGGAGAGAACCAUCACCCGGUGAUAGAUGAAAGUUAGGGUCUAAGGGUGUAUUAGCAACCUUACAAUCGGUAAUACCGGCACGUGAAAUAAGAUCUGAUGCAUAUUUUGCUUGAGAUAAAUAAAUGCCAGUGUCAUGAGGAAGCACUUCAAGACCAAGAAAAUAGUGAAGUAAACCCAAAUCCUUCAUCUCAAAAUAAGAACUAAGUGACUGUUUUAGAUCAAGAAUACCAUGAGCAUCGCUACCUGUAAUAAUCAUGUCAUCCACAUAGAGAAUAAGAAGAAUAGUGCCCGAUGUAGUGGUUUUAGUGAACAGUCCAGAGUCAUAGUUGCUGGCGGUGAAACCCAAAGACUGAAUAAUUGUGCUGAAUUUUUCAAACCAAGCUCUUGGUGCUUGUUUAAGACCAUAAAGGGCCUUUUUGAGACGACAAACAUGAUCAUGUGGGUGAGUAACACCUGGAGGGGGUUUCAUAUAAACUUCCUUGGUGAGAUCACCAUGGAGAAAAACAUUUUUGACAUCCAUCUGAUAAAGAGACCAUCGGCGUACAGCAGCAACAGCAAGAAGGCUACGAACUGAAGUAACCCUAGCGACAGGUGCAAAAGUCUCCUCAUAGUCAAUUCCAUAUUCUUGAUUAAAACCUUUCGCAACUAAUCUGGCUUUGUACCGAUCGACAGUGCCAUCCGAGUUUGUUUUGACUUUAAACACCCAUUUGGAGCCAAUGAUGCCCUUUCCUGAUGGAAGAGGGACGAUGUCCCAUGUAUGAGCCUUAUUAAGAGCCUCUAAUUCGUCGGAUAUAGCUCUUUGCCAAAGUGGGUCAGAGGAUGCUUCUUUAUACGAAGAUGGUGUAUGGAUAGAGAAUAGAGUAGAAUAACACUUGUAGUCACGAAGAUGAGAAGGUAUAUGUCUUACCCGGGUGGAUCGGCGAUUGUCGGUAGUAAGUUCAUCAGGCAAAACAGACAUUUCAGGAGAGUCCAUAGAGGAAGAGUCGGGAGUAGAAUCACAUGUAGACAACGAUGUAGGAUCAGAUGGUGUAAUAGAAGGAGAAGUAUCAACAGGUGAAGAAGAGUCGGGAAAAUGCAAUGGUGAGGAAUGAGAUGGUGUGGCAGAAGACAUGUCCAUAGAUGGAGACGAAGGAUCGACAAUUGUCUGCGAAGGUGGGACAGAAGAUGAUGGUUGUCCCGGAAAUAGUUGAACAGAUGUAUCGGUAAAGAAAGGAGGAACAUGAUCAUAUUCCAAUUGAGAUGUUGAAAUGGAGGAAAACAUUUUGUGUUCCCAGAAGACAACAUGACGAGAUAUACGAAGUCGUUUGGAGAUAAGAUCCCAACACCGAUAGCCUUUGUGUUCGAUGUCGUAUCCCAGGAAACAACAAAGACGGAAUCGAGGUUGAAGUUUGGUGUGUUCAUGUGGUUGUAGCAAGACGAAGCAAGCACAACCCCAUACUUUGAGUAGAUUGUAGUUAGGAGGUUGUCCAUACAAAGCUUCAUACGGAGACUGAUUCUGGAGAAGUGUAAUUGGAUGGUGAUUGAUGGUGUAGACUGCUGAAAGGGCGGCCUCACCCCAAAAACGUUCUGGGCAUUGAGCUGAGAUAAGUAAGGUACUAACAGUAUCUAGGAUAUGGCGAUGUUUGCGUUCAGCUCUACCGUUUUGUUGGGAAGUACCGGGGCAAGAGUACUGAGAUACGGUGCCUUGUUGGCGGAGGAUGUCAAGGAAAGAACGUUCUUUGUAUUCUAUGGCAUUGUCGGCACGAAAGACUUUUAUGUGUUUAGCAAACUGGGUUUGGAUCAUACGUGCAAAAUUCAUGUAUAUAUGGGGUAGUUCAGAUCUGUUUUUCAUUAGAUAUAUCCAAGUAAAUCGCGUAUGAUCAUCAAGAAAGAUAACAAAAUAUUUUGACCCUCCCAUUGAAGGAAGAGGAGAAGGUCCCCACACAUCUGAAUGAAUCAAAUCAAAAGAAGCAACUGAAUUAACAUCAAUUCUACAAAAUGGUAAGGCAUGUUGUUUUCCUAAUUGACAUGAUAAACAAGAUAACUUGUCAGGUUUAACCGACCCCAAAAUACCAGAUAAAGUAAGAACUUUAAGUUUAUCAAAAGAGAUAUGUCCCAAUCUUGAAUGCCAUGUAUCUAUAUCACUGGGAGAGCCAUCGGAUGUUGAUAGAGAAGAGUGAACAAAAGGUUGUGGUUUGCGGAGAUAAACUAGCUCAACCUGCCGACCCACUUUACGGCCUAUCCCAAUUGUUUUCUUCGUGCUGGGAUCCUGAACAUAACAACCAGAAGGAGAGAAUAAAGUGUUUAGACCCAUAUCACAAAGCUGGCCCACUGAAAUUAAGUUAACUGAUAGCUUUGGGAUGUAAAGUGUAUCUGGUAAGGACAAUUGGGUUGUAGAAAUAUGCCCACUGUAAUGAACAGGUAGACUGGUUCCAUUAGCGGUCGUAACAACAGAUGGAGAUGUAGUUGUGGUUUUUGUGACAAAUACAUCAGGUUGUGAGGUCAUGUGAUUGCAACAACCAGAAUCAAAUAACCAAGCUUUACCUGCAACCGUUGAAUUGGCCAUGAUUGGUGAGGAUCUUGACAUAACUUGUUUUAUGAGCUCGAUUACAUCAUCAGAGGUAAAAGUGUUGAGGCUCUGAGCUGUUGAGGACCCCCAAAGGCACAUUGGAAAAAUCUGGAGCACAAACUGUUGCAGUGAUAUUUUUGAUGCGAUCUGGAUUCUUAAAACAGUUAGAUGCAAAGUGCCUAGGAUGUUUCUUUUGACAAAAAAUACAAGAACGGUUUGGACAAUCCAAUAGUUGAUGACCAUUAUCAUGACAAUAUGAGCACUGAGAUGAUUUUCUGUUGUGUGGAAACUGAGCUUUGUUGGAUGUGAAGUUUCGAACUCCUUUGUGGAAAGGUACAGCAAGAACUCCAUCAGUGGAUAAACUAGUUGAUGAAGUAGGAACUCCCAACCUGGUUUCUUCUGAGAUAAGUUCAGCUAUCGCAGCUUCAAGAGUAGGAAGAGGAGACCUAUGUAGGAGAGAAGCUCGAACAGGUUCAUAAAGAUCUUGUAGCGCCAUAAGAAAGAUCAUGAGAUGUUGUUUUUGAUGGGUAGUUGAAAUCAUAGCAUCCUCUUGACAUUUGAAAGUGGGUCCCGCAAGAGUCAGUUGAUCCCAUAUAACUUGUACUUCAGAUAGAAAUGCACUGAUGGUUUGACCUGGUUGUUGACGUUUGCUAAGAAGCCCAGACAAAAGGUGAUACUGAUGAGCCAUAUCAGUGGUGGUAUACCUAUCUUUAAGAAAAUCCCAUAUUUCUUUACCAGUGACAAAAAGCCCAAAUUGUUGAUUGAUUUCUGUUGUUGAAGUAUUACACAGAAUGGUGACAAUUUCUCCAUUCUUACACAACCAAUUUUCUUCUCUAAUGUCAAAGGCAUCUUGAUCUUCCCUUUCUUUUUGAACUGGUCUAGGUAUAGCACCUGUAACAACCCUCCAUAGUUUGCGAGAUUGAAGAUAGCUUGUCAUAUGUCGAGCCCAUAUAACAUAAUUAGAUCCAUCUAAUGUAAUUGAGAUUGGGCGAGGUGUGACAAGAGGAGUUGUCAUUGUUUAGGAAGGAAAUACAAGAAAGGAAUGAGAAACUUGAAGAAUGUUGUGGAAACCUCGUGAACAGUAUAGUGAGUUCAAUUUUACCAGAAAAUAGGGGAGAUAAUGGCUGCUCAGAUGUUAUUACGAGAGAUAGCUGCUACAGGGGUGACGAUGAGAGAUUGAAUCGACUAUUGUUGUAGUGGUAAUGAGACACACCACAAAAGUCGACCAGUCAACCGGAGAUGGUGAGAGGAGACGAACUUGGUAGCCACUGGAAGCCCUAGCGAUUUGGAGCCCUAAGCUCUGAUACCAUGAGAACGAUCUGAAUUAAUUUAACCAAAAGUCAUUACAGAAGAAAGACCAUACAAAGACUAAAUACUUGGACAAUUAUACAUAAAUGACAAAAAGAGUCUUUCAACUAUAUUUAUAAAUAUAUUAACAGAGAACAUCAUGGUAUUUAGCUGCUUCUGAUGGCAAACUAUUAGGCAUAUUUUUAAUAGAUUAUGACCAUAUUACUAAUUAGGAAGGUUUCAAUAUAGAGUCCAGCUACAACUCUUGUAUAGAUAUCAUGAAAACUAUGGAAAAAGGCAAGGCAUGGAGUUUCAAAGAUUAUAAUCACAAAAGAAUUCCAACUGAGACCCCUCUUGGAACAUCCUAAACAUCAUAACAUCCUACUUUCUUCCCAAGAGAUUUAUUCCGCUACAAAUCUUAAUUACUCAAGCAACAUGACAAUCACUGACAACCUACCAAAAUAGUUAGAAAGACCCCANNNNNNNNNNNNNNNNNNNNNNNNNNNNNNNNNNNNNNNNNNNNNNNNNNNNNNNNNNNNNNNNNNNNNNNNNNNNNNNNNNNNNNNNNNNNNNNNNNNNNNNNNNNNNNNNNNNNNNNNNNNNNNNNNNNNNNNNNNNNNNNNNNNNNNNNNNNNNNNNNNNNNNNNNNNNNNNNNNNNNNNNNNNNNNNNNNNNNNNNNNNNNNNNNNNNNNNNNNNNNNNNNNNNNNNNNNNNNNNNNNNNNNNNNNNNNNNNNNNNNNNNNNNNNNNNNNNNNNNNNNNNNNNNNNNNNNNNNNNNNNNNNNNNNNNNNNNNNNNNNNNNNNNNNNNNNNNNNNNNNNNNNNNNNNNNNNNNNNNNNNNNNNNNNNNNNNNNNNNNNNNNNNNNNNNNNNUAUAUAUAUAUAUAUAUAUUGUGGGGUCUUUCUAAUAUAAAAACACAAUGGGUCACUUACUUAGUUGAUAUCAGAGUUACGGAAAAGCAAACAGCCAAUCGGUUACCAGUUAAAGUCAAAUAGCGGAUCCUUUUGUAUCGAACAUUUAUAACAGAACAACCUUCUGAAGAUAUAUCUCUGAUUUUCUUCUGGAGGGAAAAGCAAAAUAUUUAAGUGCGUACUAUGUGUUUAAUUCAUAUAUCAGAUUAGAUAUGAGCAUUAAUUUCUUUUUGGAUGCUUUGUUGAUUUCAGGACCUGAAAUCGUGGACUUGUUGCACUUGAAAAAAAGAUGCCUAACCUUCUGAUAUUUUUGACAAACAUGGCCAUGUGAGAAAUAAUGAUGUGUGUCCAUAAGACUCACUUGUAAAUGGGCCCAUAGUGUAGCUUAAGCUUGGCCACUCAGCGUUACUGAAAUUUUGUGGCAUACUUCAUUGUACAUAUAUAAUUCUUUGGGACCAAUAACAAGUUGGAAGACAAAACCAUGUGAUUUUUCUUUUUGGUAGAAUGUGUCGCCAUCUCUUCUUUGAAAUUCCUACUAUUAUUCGAUCUUCAUUAAAAUCUUCAUACACCUAUAAAAUGGAUACAAUUGGGCUGAUAUGAAGCACAACGGAUCCUCCCAAAAUCGAUCACAGCAUCUUUCACAUAAAAGAAAUCCUUUUAGAAGAAAGAGACCGUAGCCUUCAUAUAAAAAUGGCCAUUCGUGUGCCUCGAAUCAUUCAGGCCAAAAAAGUUCUCGGUCGAUCAUUCUCCAAUGGAAGCCGCUCAUCAUCAUCAUCGGUAGACAUCAUCCCCAAAGGACAUUUAGCAGUUUAUGUUGGUGAUCAAGAAAAAAGACGAUUUGUUGUUCCUUUAUCGUUAUUAGACCAGCCUUCAUUCCAAGAUCUGUUACGUCAAUCAGAGGAAGAAUUUGGUUAUGAUCAUCCAAUGGGUGGCCUCACAAUUCCAUGUCGUGAGGAUGUCUUCAUUCAUGUCGCUUCUGGCCUGGUCUGCUCAUUAUGACCAAGAAUUUUGCAUUCUAUUUGCUAACAUAUAACGUAAUUUUGUACAGUAGAAAUCACCAUGAAACCUAAGUAUUUGUAAAGCUGUCUCCAAAUUGUAUAAUAGCCAACAUUAGUUUCACCAUUAACAUAGCAAUGAAGAACAUCAUUCAAAUUUUGGUAUCUAUAUAUGCAUAUUCCAUCUUUCCUUUAUUAAUGUACUCUUAUAAGGUGCUCAAAAUCCGUACUUCAAACUUUCUAAAUCGAUCUAACAAGUGUUCAAAAAUGGUAAUUAUUUCACAUAAUUUUCUAUAUAGUUAAUACUACAUUUCUUCUGCGCUAAGACAGCCACACGACUUCAAUCAAGCACCAAAUUUCGCUGAACUCAACACAUAGACUCCUCCACAUAUACUGUGCGGCUUCCUCAUGUGAUCGUGUGAUCCACAUUCCACAAUCUCAUCGGCACGACAUCAUCACGACCUUCCAUUUCGCAUUAUAGGCGGUGGCAGGGAUUUAAGACCAUUAAUCACUCAAAAUUCGAUUUCAUCAAAAUCAAGCCUUAAACACUUGUAUUUCUCCAUUUUCUUUGGACCGUAAAUAUCAUAUAUGAUUUUCGUAUCUUUUGACUCAGCCAAUGGUCUUCAUGCUUUCGGCUUUAUACAAAAAUCUUGGUGAUUUUGUCUUUAAUAUCAGUAUCUUUACUAAUUAUUGUUGAUUCUCAUUUAUAUAGUAUUGGUUCCAUACAUUUAAGGUAUUAUUUUGGAUUAUCAAACCGUAUGAAGAUGCAAGUUCGAUUAUUUGAAACUUUAAACUUGGACUGAGAUUUACCAAUACUGAUAAACUUUGUUCUUUUUGUUCAUUUUUAACUAAUAUUAUUGUGAAAGGCUUGUUAAAAACUAGCUGGACAAAGACGACAUACGAAGGUUCUUUUUGAUACGACACAAUUCAAGUUUUUUUUAAUUGUUAUAUUCGGCAUGUCAAAAAAUAUCUUCUAAACAAGUUUAUAAGCGAGGUUUUUAAAGAGCUACUCAAACUCGAAUUUUAACAAACUUUAAAAUCUUUUUUAAAAUCCUCGCUUCAUAUAUGCUCAUUUCCCUAGACCAAGGGCCAAGGAGCCAAAAGCGAAGAUAGAAGAAAAGUAGUCUAUUGAUUAGCUAAGUGCAAAAGUGACAAAAAUAAGAAAGUAUGAUUGUUAUUACCUUUAUAUAUGUUAUUAUAAGUCAUAUAAUUUAUUAGAAAGGAGUUUCAUGGAAAUGAGGGUAAAAUGAGAAGAAUUAUGAAAAAUUAAAAUAUAAAUCAAAUAAUGAAAGUAGUAAAUUUGGAGCUCUAGGAGGCCAACGAAACGUAGGUGUUAAGGAACAAACAGGGUUGAAAUGGAAAGAGGACAUAUAAUACUAAAAAAUGUAAAAUGACUCAACUUAAUUGGUAAAACAAUGAGCUUGCAAAGUUAAAAGACAAUUCAUUCAUAAGUUAUGGGUUAUUUCAAAAUUCCAAGGUACUAACUUUAGAGGUUAAUAGCUAUAGAUCUAGAAUGAUUCAGAAAAAUGUAUAAAAAGAAUGUUAUAAACAUUAUGUCAACAGAAACAUAAAAUGAUUCAAGAAAAUUAGAAUCAUUAUGAAGUAGUUAUGAGCAUUUAAAAAAGUCAAGUUAAAACAUAAAGUUUACAAAAAACGAGUAUAAACCUAUGUUCAUGAGUUAAUAACUCAAUAUUUGUACAUAUUCGGCCAAAGAUGUUUACACGCAUCACACUGCUUGUUCUUUCUAAUAAAUCCUUAAUUUUAAUUUUAGAAAAAUUAUUUUCAUUAUAAAAAUUUCUCAAACCCUCGAUUUGAGUCUACACAACCCCGAAGGUGUGUUUGGAUCUCUCAAACCAAGACUCUGAUCCCAAAUUGUAACAUCCCAAAAUUUAAGGCCAAAAAUUUCAUUUUUAUUUAAUAAAUAUAAAACCAUUUCUCUGAAAACAUCCAUAAUAUCAACUCAUAUCAAAACCACUGUAUGAAUAGUCAAAAAAUGUCAUGAUAAACAAUAUCAGAGUAAAACUCCAAGAGAUCUCAUGUGCGGAAAAUAUAGUGUGAUACACUACGAUCAUGCCGGAUAUCUGGGUGCUUGAACUACUCUGCUAGGCAUAUCUGGGUGCCCAACCUAUGCUUCGGUUUAUCUUAACCGGUUACAGAGACUAUAUCACCCCUACCACUACAACAUAAUACAUAGCAUAAUCAUACUGUCAAGCAUAUCUAGGUGCCCAAACUACCCUCUGGUUUAUCUCAACCGAUUCCAGGGACUAUUCCUCCUCCUACCACUAUCACAUAAUAUCAUAGCAUACUAGCACAUAAAACAUAACAGAUAGUGGCAUACCAGACAAUUAUCACAAAGACAAUUAUCUCUACUAUAAUCAGCUAAUAGUGGGCUGGCAUUGGUGCCUUCGACCCACUUCUACUGGAAGGUAAAUCACCUUAAAUGUCAUGAAGUAGCUAAACUAUCCUCAACUUUGAAAUCAACCCCACUCAAACUUCUACACAUAAAAUAUUCCCUUUAAUUACCCUUUUCAUACUCAUAACCCCUUAAGGUUCAACUUUGAUCAAAGUCAAAGUCGAAGUCAACACCCUAGUCAAAGUCAACAUUCCGGUCAAAGUCAACAUUCCGGUCAAAGUCAACACUAUGGUCAAAAGUCAACAUUCCGGGAUGACUCAACUCGCCGAGUUCCAUAAAUCAUGAAACCUUGAAAUUGCGAUCCAACUCGUCGAGUUCCUCCUAUAAACAGAAUCAAGACUUCUACAGUCAACUCGUCGAGUCAUCCUUGAACUAGUCGAGUUUUUCCUUUUUAUAGAAUUGGGAUACUUCGACCCAACUCGUCGAUUUCCUCUAUGAACUCGUCGAGUUCUUCAGUGUGUUAAGCCCUUCUUAAUGGAUGAAGGUCCUAUCCCUCAUAUCUAUGCUUCAUACUUCGUAUUCAUACUGAAAAUGUCCUUUUUAAGGGUAAAAGUUUCCAACUUUACCCGUUAAUACCCUUCCUUAAUGGAUUUAGCUCAAAACCUAACUCUUUAACACCUGGAUCUUGAUCCAAAAGCCAUUAAUACUUUAAGCUAAGGCAUACAAACUCAGAUCUAGAGCCUAGACACUACAUGAACACGUAAAGUCUCUGACUUUCUCUCAAUGCAUGGCCUUUUGGAGCUUAAAAGGCCAAAAUGACAUCCUAAAGCUUGCAUGGGGCUUCAAUGGCCAUAAAGUUUGCACCUUUAUGCGAUGAAAGCCCUUCAAGGUCCUAGAUUUGGAAUUAUACUCACUUGGGACUCCCAUUUCCCAAGGACCAUGCUACUUGGACCAAAACCCAAUGAAAGUGAAAAUGCAGAGAUCUAAGAAAUCAUUAAGCAAGUUUGAGGCUUGCAUACCAGAAAAUGCUGCAAAUAGAGUGAAGUUUCUGGAUCUACUACUUCCUUCGUGAGUCAUCACGCUUCUUAUUCCACAAGCAAGAACCGGGCGUUACACAACGGCCAACGUUGACUUGCCAUGUCGUGGUGGUCCUUCAUCAUGUCGUAGUCCCUAAAGAACAAAACAGACGAUCUAACCCCAGUCGCCACAACGUGGUGACCUGACACUACGUCGUGGAAACGAGGUUCCAAACAACUUAAUUGAUUAAACUGCUUUCUUCAACCUUCUAGACUACAAUGCUCAAAUCUCACUCAAAACGAUAUCUAGAGGGAUAAAGUUUCUAAAUUUACCCUAAGGACCAUCAAAAAAGGUCUAAAACUCAAACCCUAGGUUCCAUAAGGCAUGAAAUUAACAAUUAAGCACUUAUUCCUUUAAAUCCAAGGUCCAUCUUCUCUAGUUGUGUUUCUAACACUAAAAUCAACAUGAAAGUUGGUGCUUUAUAGACAUGCAUGUCCAAUGCGUGUCUUGAACCCAUAUUAGGUCAAAAUGAGAAUUUGUGAACUAAAUCUCAUGCAUGAUUACAAUAUGCAACUAAACUUCAGAUCCAAGCCACCAAUUUCAUCAAAUGUCAAAGAGAUUCAUAAAGUCGCAAACAUUAUGAAAUCCCACCAUUCUAACCAGUAAGAAUAAGAAGAUUAUGGGACAAAGCUUAAGAUCUAGCAUCCUAUCAUGAUAAAAGUCAUGUUUGGGACAGUUACAAAGGUCCAAAAGAGUGUCAAGGUAAAUAAUGGAGGCUUGCUUGCUGGAUCGAAGCUCAAUAAUUCCUCCUUCUUCCUUCAAAAGAUUCCAAGACGACCAAAAACGAGCACAAGAGCACCAAGGAGGAUUAGGGUUAGAGUUGCUGGGUUUGGGAGUGAUGGAGGCUGAAGGUGGACAACCCUAGCCUCCCUACUUUCCGUUAAAUACUCAAAAAAAUUAGGGUUUGCCAUCAGGCCGCCACCACAUUGUGGCCACAAGCCGCCACGUCAUGGUGACUAAAUGAAACAUGCGAUCUAGUCUCGACUCGCCAUGUUGUCUUGGUCCUUCACCAAGUCGUGGCGGCCCUAAACAAAGAAGAUAAUAAUUACAAAGUACCUCAAAAUCUGGAUGUUACAUUAACAAGAUGACAAGGCUUUGUUGGGUUGCUACCUCCGGUCGGGAAGUAUAUUCCUAGUCGACAAACAUAAAAACGCCUAACUAUUUUUGCAACAAUGUAGCUAGGCGAAUUGAAGGUUGAAUACUCCUUGUUUGCAAGGUUGUUUGGAAAGCUACAAAAUUAAUAGCUAUGAUUUAACAACCUAUGAAUAAAAGAGUCUCGAAGGAAACCAACUUGGGAUUACAACGUCCUCCAUCAAAAGGUACCAAAGUCAACAUUGAUUGAUUAAAGUGUAAGUUGGUAUAUUAAGAAAGAGUUAAGAUAAUUUUUUUGGAUUUUUGAAUACCAAAACACUCACUGUCCGAAUAUGAAGACUUCUCUAGUGGUUCAUUUUUUUUCAUUGCUCUGUGGGUUCUGUCGGGAUGAUCAAGAGAUGAUCAAACGAUGCUAAACGUGAUGCGAUGAGCCUCUAAAACUUUAAGACCGUGUUGUAAUUGAGUUCGUCUAGACCAAAGACGACGGGUAUGUAUGCGAUGAUGUUGGUAAUGGAAACCAUCAGUGAAAAGGAAGGCGGUGACUAUAGUUGUAUAGAGAAGGACAACUAACAAGAAGAAAAAAGAGAAGAUAAGGAUUGGAUAUUGGAGUGACAUAAUCCGGAAAAUCUGUAACAAAUUGGAUAUUAUAUUAAAAAACGUAUUUCCACAUCAAUCCUAUUUGUCAUUAAAGAAUCGGAAUAUGUACUUGUACAUCAUACGUAGGCAAUGUUAGCAUUAAUGGAUUGGGUAUAUAUACAAAUCCAUAUAUAUAAUACCGAAAGAGGCCAACAAAUAUGUCCGUUAUAAUAGACUAAUAUUUAGAUGGCGUUUUGUACGAUAACAAGAUUUUUGACCCAAGCUAGCAAAUUAAGAUUAAAAUAUUUCUUUCUCUUCAAAAACCACAAAAAAUAAAAAUAAAAAUAAACCACGGUAAAACAUCUCUCCUUUUUUCCGGUUAUAAAGAAACACCAUUUUCUUCUUUAAUGAUCAAUCCCCGAUAACUACAUCCAAUUACACCCUUGAUCCCGUUUUAAGUUGGAGUAGAACUUUGAGCACCGUGCUGGAAAUGUAUACCCACUUAUAGGACUAUGUUGUACCGAUGUAGAAUACACUAACAACAACAUGAGAAGUUACAUCUUUGAUAUUUUGGUCGGUGGCCAAGUAAAAACUUUAAAUUCAAAAGCUUAUUAGAAGGUGGUUGAUUCAUAUGCUUGAUUAGAUUUGAUCCUAUUUGGAUUUUGAUAGUGUUGACCACUUCACCACCUAAAAUGGUGGAAUGGUUGUACUUCAAAAAAUAAAUAAAUUAUAAAGAUGCAAAAUGUUACGUUUUUUAAUGGAACAUAUCCAUGUGAAUAAUAAUGGUGCAUGUCCUUCAGAAUCCAAUAUACAUAUGGGCCAUAGUUUUGUUCACUCUUUUCCACUUACAUUGCAGAAAAUAUGUGGCAUACUUCAUUCAACGUCUAAUCCUUUGGGUCCAAUAACAACUUGGAAGACAAAAGCAUGUGAUCUUGCAUUUUGCAAGAAUGUGUCACAAUCUCUUCGCUAAAAUUCCUACUAUUACCCAAUCUUAUUGAAAUCUUCUUACACCUAUAUAAUGCAUCCAAUUGUGCUGAUAUCAAGCACAACUCCUCCACAGCACCUGUCACAAAAACGAAAUCCUUUCAUAUUGCAUUUCUUCACCAAAACAAAUUAAGUGACCGUACCCUUCAUAUAUACAUGGCUAUUCGUAUGCCUCGGAUCAUUCAAGCAAAGAAAGUUCUUGGUCGAUCAUUGUCCAAUGGAAGCCGUCCAUCAUCAUCUACAGACAUCAUCCCUAAAGGACAUUUUGCAGUUUAUGUUGGUGAUCAAGAGAAAAGACGAUUUGUUGUUCCUUUAUCAUUAUUAAACCAGCCUUCAUUCCAAGACUUGCUACAUCAAGCAGAGGAAGAAUUUGGAUAUGAUCAUCCAAUGGGUGGCCUCACAAUUCCAUGUCGUGAGGAAGUGUUUGUUGAUGUUGCCUGCCGCCUUUGCUCGUUAUGAUGAAGAGCUAGGCAUGCAUCGUGUUUGCUAACAGUUUUGUACAGUCAAAAUCACCAUGAGGAUUAAUUACUUGUAAAUCAGAGGGAGUAAUGUGGUCUCCAAAUUCAUUGUAUGAUAACAAAAUUUAGUUUCAGCAUUAAUACAUUAAUGACGACCAUUGUUCAACUUAUGGUGUUCAUGUCUAUGCCAUUAGGGCUUUCUUUAUCAAUAUCCUCUAAGCCCACCAGAACCACUUACUUACUUUUGUUCUUUAGCUUGUAUUUUCAAUCCGUUCAAAAAAAGUUUGUAUGCCACAUCUUUCUCCAUAUACUGAAUGUGACUAUAGCCUUAAUUUGGGCCUGGAUCAGUUGUUUCUUCAACACCACCUACCCAAGAGCUAUCAGUUAUUGUUCUUUUCCUCUAACCUGUUAUGAUAGGGACUGAUUGGUCAAGAGAAAUUAGCCGAUGAUCAAUGAUGAAUAGUUCGAUAAAAAUUUGUUGUAGGAUCACACAUGUUAGUCUAUGAACUCAAGGGAACGACUUUGUAAAGGGCCUGCUUAUGUCUUUCUUGAGUAAGCUCGGAAGUUUAAACAAAAGAACUCAUAUAGCAAACAUAUUGGUGCUUAGCUGCUUCUGAUGACAAACUAUUAGGCAUAUUUUUAUUAGAUUAUGACCAUAUUACUAAUUAGGAAGGUUUCAAUAUAAAGUCGAGCUACAACUCUUGUAUAGAUUGCAUGAAAACUAUGGAAAAAGGCACGGCAUUCAGUUUCAAAUAUUAUAAUCACAAAGAAUUCCAACAGAGACUCCUCUUUGAACAUCCUAAACAUCAUCACAACCUACUUUCUUCCCAAGAGAUUUAUUCCGCUACAAAUCUUAAUUACUCAAGAAACUUGACAAUCAUUGACAACCUAUAACCAAAACAGUUAGAAAGACCCCACAAUACAUGGACCU
RNAcentral lists this long non-coding RNA (23738 nucleotides) under Lactuca sativa (garden lettuce). RNAcentral describes it as "long non-coding RNA (LSAT_LNC003681)". Lineage: Eukaryota; Viridiplantae; Streptophyta; Magnoliopsida; Asterales; Asteraceae. The record is from RNAcentral.